This 253-nucleotide ribosomal RNA is filed under the name uncultured bacterium. Its description in RNAcentral is "partial 16S ribosomal RNA". It matches the Rfam family "Bacterial small subunit ribosomal RNA", at positions 524 to 776 of the family's 1533-position model. The record is from RNAcentral.
UACGGAGGAUCCAAGCGUUAUCCGGAUUUAUUGGGUUUAAAGGGUGCGUAGGCGGUCUGUUAAGUUAGAGGUGAAAUGCCGUGGCUCAACCACGGGACUGCCUCUGAUACUGGCAGGCUAGAGUAUAGUUGCUGUGGGCGGAAUGUAUGGUGUAGCGGUGAAAUGCUUAGAGAUCAUACAGGACACCGAUUGCGAAGGCAGCUCACAAAGCUAUAACUGACGCUGAGGCACGAAAGCGUGGGGAGCAAACAGG